CAGAGAUGAAAACAGAAGAUAUGAACGAUGACACUGUGGGCUGUUUUUGGUGUGUGCUGGUCCUGAUGAUACAGGCCAGCAGCAUUGCAAACACUGUUGACAAUGCAUUUUCGAAAGGGAGACGUGGAUUUUUUUCGUUGGUGCCCCUAAGUAGCAAGCAGCCUGUGUGACUGUGCAAGCAAUGCAAUGGAUUUGAAAGCAGAGCCUGUAAUUACACUAGGUUAUCAAAAGAAGAAGAGCAUCUCAAAUGGCAGGAGACUUCCAUCAUUCUGUGACUUUAUGGGAUGACAUGCCCAGACCUCUUCCAGUCGGGACUCAGCAACGGUGAACACUAGGAUCUGAGAGUGGGAAGUACUCUUGGAUCGCACAGUUUAGACAUAGCUUCACUGAAGUUCUCCUUCCUUCCUUACGUCCUUCCCUCCGUCCUUCCUUCCCCCUGUCCUUCCGUCCUUCCUCCCCCCCCACAUUUUUGCAUCUCAUGGACUCUGAAUUUAAUUACUGCAACUUACUUACAUGGUUGUUUCUGCUCUGUAUGAGUGACCAGUGAAACGAAUGGGAGGAUGAGCUGAUUUCAAAACAAUUUUUGAAGGAGAAAACACACAUUAGACACCAUUCUAAUCUCACAGUAUUUGCAUUCAGGUGUCAUUUUGCCAGUGUCAAUGGAGCUGCAAGAACAGGCUUCCUUGUGCCAGUGAAAACUUAAUUACAAGGCAGAGUUAGACUGGGAUGUUUCUGGCUAGGGUGACAUGGGGAAGACUAACAGAAUAUAAUAGCUGACCACGUAGAUUGAUGAGUUUCUCAGCUGCUCUGCAAUGGGUGCAGAAAAACUGAUGUUAGAGAACAAGACUUAUUUCAAAUGAAUUGCAGGAGAGUUAACUGCACUUAUGAUGUAGAAAUGCAGCAACUUUCUAGGAAACACAGCUGGGGCUGGCUAGCUCCUAGAUUCGGGUCAAGCCAUGAGGUCUGGCAGUGUUUUUCCAGUAGCAGUGUCUGGGAGAGGUUUGCUGGUGUCAGGAAUCCAUUCCUUGACUCUCUUUGAAACCACCAUCUUCUCAUUCGUUUUACUGCACCAGUCUUGAACUGGAAACUCUUGUGAUUUGCUAUUGCCCAAGUUCCUAAAACACUGACAGCAUUUUUCCUGGUGCAUGUUUAGUGUGGGCUGAUAAAACCAAGCCACGGCAAGCAGUGAAACUGGGGAGGAAUCUUCAUUUGCAUUUUAUUUCCUUGCUAACUACAAACUGAAGAAAGAGAAAACAGUGCAAAGACCUGGAUGGCAGCUGAAGUUUUGAAUAGCCCUUUAAAAACAAAACAAGAACAACCCCUCAACCAAGUUUUUGCUGGAUACCGUCCACAGCCCUCUGAUCAGCCUUAUAUGUUGUGGGCUAAGCAUCAUACAUGGUAAAAAUAUCUAGCUGUGCUUUCCUCACUUGUGUUCCCAGACAGCUGGAGGCUAGAUAAUGGUAUGCUAUUAAAUACAAUAAUAACUCCCAGCAGUGCCAACAUACAGCCAUGUGUUCUGAAGAAGAAAAAUUAGAGUGCUUAAAUGUUUUAAAACAUUUAUCUCCUGGUGGGAAAAAUGAUCCCUUUUAAGUAACGCUGACUGUCAUGUUCUCCAGCUAGAAUAAACAGACAGGAUCUUCUGGCACAGGAGACUGAAAGUAAAUUUGAUCUUUGGUGUAAUAAAAUUAACAAGUUAAAAGCUUAUUCUGCUAUUAUUUCUAAUAGAUUAACAGCAUCUUGUGCUAUAGCCAGCAAAGUAUGAUUAAACAAACAAAAGCUGCAGUUGAUACAAAGACAUGCAUAGAGCUCCUAUAUCUAAGGUAGAUUUUCAUCAAAAUCUAAUCUUCCAUGUUUUACUUAUUAUUGUGUAAUUGAAACAUAUUUACACUGUGUAAGCAAGGGCAAAUUUAUCUGCUAUGUGUGCAGUUGCUGAGGAGAGUCAUCUAGUGCCGUUUCAGAAUGCUUUGCUAAAACAUCUCACAGCUAUGUCAGAGCUUAUUUGACAGUCAAAACAAUCAUGUGAUUAACAAAAGCACAUUAGAAAACUGCAUUGUUGGAUUUUUGUUUUGUCAAAAAAAGUCAUUCAGACUCAAUUAUAACUACUUAGAUAUUGAUUGAAAAAAAUGAAAUUGGUGUAAGAACACUCUUCUUUGAGGAAAAAAAAGAUGACCUGAACAUAACUGUUUUUGACUUUGACUUGAAAUCCUAGAUAAAAGCAAAAGCUUUCAUAACUGUAUGGUGUCUUGACAACAAAAGCAUUUCAUAUAAUUAAAAGACUGCUAUAUACAAAGCAA
Molecule: non-coding RNA, 2294 nt
Organism: Anas platyrhynchos (mallard)
Lineage: Eukaryota; Metazoa; Chordata; Aves; Anseriformes; Anatidae
Source: RefSeq, a predicted model, not a curated record